AAACACUCCAGGACCUUGGGAAAGAAAUCUGUAUCAGACAUGUGGGCUUCAUUAAGGGAAAUGCCUUCAGAAGAUUAUUUUUCCAUGUUAUGAGAAAAAAUCUCAACAACCACAGCAGAUGUUCCAGUGCCCAGGUGACCUAGAAGCUUCAUGUGGAGGUGAUGGAACUUCAGUAGGCCUGGAAGUGAUGCAGUAUCUUCUGCCCUCAAUAAUCUUGCAGUCAUGCUCCAAAAACUUUGACGACGUGUAUCUGAAACCAGCCCAAUUGUCCCAUAGAAAUGAUAUUUGAAUGUUUUUGAAUAAACAUAGAAAUUGACCCUCUGAAUUAAAACUAGAAACUUACACUUGUCUAUUCUGAGUGCCUUCCUCAGGAAAUCAACCCUCACUCAAGGGAAUGAAACUCACUCAAUCACUACAUCCAGACAAUGAGAUACAAGACCCCUCAUUCAUCAUGAUUGCUUCCUUGUUCCUCCCUAAUUCCCUGUUUUCCUGUAUAAACCUCCCAAUUUUAGUCCAUUACUGAGAUGGAUUUGAGACUAAAUCUCCCAUUCUCCUUGGCUGCAACACCUGAUUAAAGCCUUCUUCUCUGGCAAUACUUGUUGUCUCAGUGAUUGACAUUCUGUGCUGAGAACAGCAAGACCUAGACCAAACCCCUGGCACUUCAGUAACAUAUCAAGCACUGCUCAAUGUGAUAGCGACAGGAGGCAGCCAAAUGCCUCAGCAGAUAGGG
Molecule: long non-coding RNA, 730 nt
Filed under: Homo sapiens (human)
Lineage: Eukaryota; Metazoa; Chordata; Mammalia; Primates; Hominidae
Description: HSALNT0199679
Source: RNAcentral